This is a non-coding RNA of Paramuricea clavata, 419 nucleotides long. The record is from the annotation of a GenBank genome assembly. Lineage: Eukaryota; Metazoa; Cnidaria; Anthozoa; Malacalcyonacea; Plexauridae.
AUUCUAUAUAUAAUUUAGGUAAGACUCCAAAAGAAAAGCUGUCGUGUUUAAUACUGUAGUUCUCGUUUCCGCAGAAAAUGGCAUGCUUUAUAUUCUGAUUUCAAUAAUUCGUAAAUAUGUGAUUACUAGUGCACCAAGACAUGGAAACAGAUUUUUAAAAAAUGCCGAUACGUGCCGACCUAGGUCAGAUUCAGGUCGGCAUUUUUUUGCCGACCUCAAUUUUGAUGGUUUUCGAGGGCUGAAAAUUGCAGACACCAAAUAUAUGAUUUUCCCAGCCCCCCCCUUUUACUUUAUGAUCGGUCCCUUAGGACCCCCCAUUUUUUCUUCUUCUUGAGCUUCACAAAAAGCUUAAAAGGAAUGCAACACAUGCAAUGAUUUUGCUAAGGCAUUUAUAACAUGAUUGCAAUCAUUUCACGCUG